Long non-coding RNA from Podarcis raffonei (Aeolian wall lizard), 1124 nucleotides. RefSeq lists it as uncharacterized. The transcript has 2 exons. Lineage: Eukaryota; Metazoa; Chordata; Lepidosauria; Squamata; Lacertidae. The record is from RefSeq and is a predicted model, not a curated record.
UUUACUUUCGCCAGCAAAUACUUUUUUGGCUUUGAAAAUUGAGGUGUGCAUUAGAUUUGAUGGCGUAUUGGACUCGAGUAAAUACGCUAAAUAAUGGGAUGAAUAGGGAGGCAGGAGAGAAUAUAUUAUUUAAUAAUAUCCUUCCGAACUUGCGCUAGCAAGUCCCAUAUUCUAGCAGAGUUCCAAACAUCUCUCUUUUUAAAUUACGCAGCGAUCAGCUUGUUGCUGACUCAUCUGAGUCUUACUAUUAAAGAUUCCUUCCUGGUAAAAUCUCUUGCCUUUACCUCUUAAAAAGAAUAAACACAAGAAUCUGAUUAACGUUAAUAUAAAAAUAGUUUACUCACAGAUUCAUUCAGGUUCACAGACAUAUCCCUGAAGGCUGGCUUAGGUUACUUAACAACUAGAACUAUUCCAUAAAGAAGUUAGUCCCAAGUGACUGUGGCAAAGCAGUCACUUCUCCAAACAUACAGCAACAUCCAAAAUGGAGAACACACACACUGAUCAGAACAUGGAGGCUGUGUGCUCCUCCAUGCUAGUACAACAGACCACACCCUCUUCAAGUCACAUGUCUACUGUACCACUGUACUUGACUGCAGUUUUACAUCCCACAAAUAAUCUAUGGCUUUUUAAACUGUAGGGGGGUGUUUUUGUUUGUUGCUAUGGUAUGCAUUUUUAUGGUUUUAUAUUGCAAACAGCCCUGCAAUUUUUAGGUGAAGGGUGUUGUAAAAAUUUAAUAAUAAAGAUCUUAACUGGGUUUGAAUUGGCACUUUAGCAUGGGGGCAGAGGGUAGAACAUCAAUGGGGAACCUGGGACUCUUUAGAUGUUGGCCCCAGCCACCAUAGUCAUUGGUCAAGGGUGAUGGGAGCUGCAGUCUUAACUACAUCUCUGGAGGGCCAGAGAUUCCCAUCCCCUGGGGUAAAGCAUAACCCCAGUACUGUAUGUAUAAAAGACUACACACACGAAAAGGUAACUGAAACAAAUCACUUGUUUUAUUGAUGCAUAAUGCAUCAUUCAGAAACUAAUGUUACAAAUUUGAUGAACUUUGAAGGGAAAUGUAGCAACAUAGAGGAAAUGGCAGGCAGCUUAUUCAGAAAAUGAUAUGGAUUAAGAAUUACAUAAUUGCA